Molecule: ribosomal RNA, 429 nt
Filed under: Pseudomonadota bacterium
Lineage: Bacteria; Pseudomonadati; Pseudomonadota
Description: Proteobacteria bacterium partial 16S ribosomal RNA
Rfam family: Bacterial small subunit ribosomal RNA
Source: RNAcentral
UGGGGAAUAUUGGACAAUGGGCGAAAGCCUGAUCCAGCCAUGCCGCGUGUGUGAAGAAGGUCUUCGGAUUGUAAAGCACUUUAAGUUGGGAGGAAGGGCAGUAAGCGAAUACCUUGCUGUUUUGACGUUACCGACAGAAUAAGCACCGGCUAACUCUGUGCCAGCAGCCGCGGUAAUACAGAGGGUGCAAGCGUUAAUCGGAAUUACUGGGCGUAAAGCGCGCGUAGGUGGUUCGUUAAGUUGAAUGUGAAAGCCCCGGGCUCAACCUGGGAACUGCAACCAGAACUGGCGAGAUAGAGUAGGGCAGAGGGUGGUGGAAUUUCCUGUGUAGCGGUGAAAUGCGUAGGUAUAGGAAGGAACACCAGUGGCGAAGGCGACCACCUGGGCUCAUACUGACACUGAGGUGCGAAAGCGUGGGGAGCAAACAGG